This is a long non-coding RNA of Salvia splendens (bonfire salvia), 995 nucleotides long. RefSeq lists it as uncharacterized. The record is from RefSeq and is a predicted model, not a curated record. Lineage: Eukaryota; Viridiplantae; Streptophyta; Magnoliopsida; Lamiales; Lamiaceae. The transcript has 2 exons.
UGCUCUCCUCCUCGCCCUCUGCAACACUCUUCCCACUAUUUCAACUCUCGGUUUUCAUCCUUCUCUCUUCAUGUUUCGUUUUUCUCUUUGCACUAUUCUAAAUCUCAUAAUCAAUUGCUCUUUGUUAGUUCCGUUGUUUGUGUUGCAAUAUCUGAAACGAUGUAAUUAGGUUUUUGGUGCGAUUCGCGCGUGUCCCAUUCACUUCUCCAAUCCAGUUUAUUUUCAACAUUCAAUCUAUACUAUUAUUUGUUAAUGGAGGCUAAGCUACAAAACAGAGAAAUGAUAAUGUUUCUGAGUGUGAAUCCUAUGUUCGUGAUCCUAUUGAGCCAACAGAGUACAAAUCUAAAUUCGAUAAUCUGAUUGCACAUUUCCAAACUCUAUUCAAGUCAGAAGACAUGUUGCCGAUUUUUGAGCAUUUUAUUAAUACAUAACUGUUAGACUCCGCGGCUGCCCUGACCCGUCUUGUUGCAUUGGGGAUUGGUGCAGUUAUGGAGCACCGAGAAGCUGUGGCUACUCCAGCUGCUGAGUGCGCGCCAAAUUUUUUACCUUAACGUAUUCCUUUGAAUCAGACGUGGUUGCUGUUGAUCAAGUACAUCCAUUGUUAUCUGGAUUAUAUGAUUCUCUAUAAAUAGAACAAAAUAUUUGAGGGGGAAAUGCUCAAAUUGAUGAGAGUGUGGAUCGCUAGGCCGUUGGAAAUGGACGUUGCUGAGGAGCUGACUGAGCACAUGUUGUGCUCAACAGUUGAUCUUGUGUCUUCUUACAACCUGUUUAUGGCAGCAUUACAACUGCUGGAACAUGCUCGCUGGUUUGAGGUGAGAAUGUAAACAAGUGCUUAAAUUUGUUUUCCCAAUUACCAAUUUACCAUAUCAAACUUAUGUAGUUAUUGCAUCUAUUUGAUCUCAGUAGGAACUAGUUACAUUUCAUUGAAAUGAUGACAAAAGAUUCCAAUGGUAAACUUCAUUAUUGAUAUGAACUUUUCAGAGGGAAAGGAUAUA